This 72-nucleotide transfer RNA is filed under the name Camelus bactrianus (Bactrian camel). It matches the Rfam family "tRNA". From Rfam's summary of the family: Transfer RNA (tRNA) molecules are approximately 80 nucleotides in length. Their secondary structure includes four short double-helical elements and three loops (D, anti-codon, and T loops). Lineage: Eukaryota; Metazoa; Chordata; Mammalia; Artiodactyla; Camelidae. RNAcentral also lists the same sequence under 1 other name. The record is from Rfam by way of RNAcentral.
GAGGGUAUAGCUCAGCAGUAGAGCGCCUGCUUAGCACCCACGAGGUCCUGGGUUCAAUCCUCAGUACUCCCA